Molecule: non-coding RNA, 148 nt
Organism: Homo sapiens (human)
Lineage: Eukaryota; Metazoa; Chordata; Mammalia; Primates; Hominidae
Rfam family: Metazoan signal recognition particle RNA
About the family: The signal recognition particle (SRP) is a universally conserved ribonucleoprotein. It is involved in the co-translational targeting of proteins to membranes.
Source: Rfam
GCUGGGUGUGGUGACUCACACCUGUAGUCCCAGCUACUCAGGAGGCUGAGGCAGGAGGAUCACUUGAGCCUGGGAAGUCAAAGCUGCAGUGAGCCGAGAUUGCACCAUUGCACUCCAGCCUGGGCAAGAGAGUGAGACCCUGUCUCAA